RNAcentral lists this ribosomal RNA (468 nucleotides) under uncultured bacterium. RNAcentral's name for it is "partial 16S ribosomal RNA". It matches the Rfam family "Bacterial small subunit ribosomal RNA", at positions 28 to 507 of the family's 1533-position model. The record is from RNAcentral.
GACGAACGCUGGCGGCGUGCUUAACACAUGCAAGUCGAACGGAAAGGCCCUGCUUUUGUGGGGUGCUCGAGUGGCGAACGGGUGAGUAACACGUGAGUAACCUGCCCUUGACUUUGGGAUAACUUCAGGAAACUGGGGCUAAUACCGGAUAGGAGCUCCUGCUGCAUGGUGGGGGUUGGAAAGUUUCGGCGGGUGGGGAUGGACUCGCGGCUUAUCAGCUUGUUGGUGGGGUAGUGGCUUACCAAGGCUUUGACGGGUAGCCGGCCUGAGAGGGUGACCGGGCACAAUGGGAAUGGGGUUCGGCCCAGACGCCUACGGGGAGGAAGAGGUGGGGAUUUUGGACAAAGGGGGGGAGCCUGAAUGAGGAAAGCCGGCGGCGGGAAGAAGGGCUUCGGGGUUGAAACCGCCUUUGGCUGGGACGAAGGGGGAGUGACGGUAAUGGGUAAAGGAAGAACGGGUAACUACGUU